This 317-nucleotide long non-coding RNA is filed under the name Nicotiana benthamiana. RNAcentral describes it as "long non-coding RNA (NBEN_LNC026217)". The record is from RNAcentral. Lineage: Eukaryota; Viridiplantae; Streptophyta; Magnoliopsida; Solanales; Solanaceae.
AAGAAAAAAAUCAAGAAUAUGGUUAGGUACUUAUCCAACGGCUCAAAUGGCGGCUCGAGCUCAUGAUGUCGCGGCUUUAACCAUCAAAGGUAACUCGGCUUAUCUUAACUUUCCUUAUUUGGCUCAUCUACUCCCGCGUCCAACUUCCGCUUCUUCUAAGGACAUCCAGGCCGCGGCUGCAAAAGCGGCAUUUGGCUCAUCAACUCCCGCGUCCGGCUUCCACUUCUCCCAAGGACAUUCAAACAGCGGCAGCAAAAGCCGCCGCCAUCACAUUUCCUGAUGAAAAUGAAGAAAUUCGAGCCGAGCCGUGCCGAGUU